Molecule: ribosomal RNA, 497 nt
Filed under: uncultured bacterium
Lineage: Bacteria
Description: partial 16S ribosomal RNA
Rfam family: Bacterial small subunit ribosomal RNA
Source: RNAcentral
GAUGAACGCUGGCGGCGUGCCUAAUACAUGCAAGUCGAGCGAACAGACGAGGAGCUUGCUCCUCUGACGUUAGCGGCGGACGGGUGAGUAACACGUGGAUAACCUACCUAUAAGACUGAGAUAACUUCGGGAAACCGGAGCUAAUACCGGAUAAUAUAUUGAACCGCAUGGUUCAAUAGUGAAAGACGGUUUUGCUGUCACUUAUAGAUGGAUCCGCGCCGCAUUAGCUAGUUGGUAAGGUAACGGCUUACCAAGGCAACGAUGCGUAGCCGACCUGAGAGGGUGAUCGGCCACACUGGAACUGAGACACGGUCAAGACUCCUACGGGAGGCAGCAGUAGGGAAUCUUCCGCAAUGGGCGAAAGCCUGACGGAGCAACGCCGCGUGAGUGAUGAAGGUCUUCGGAUCGUAAAACUCUGUUAUUAGGGAAGAACAAAUGUGUAAGUAACUAUGCACGUCUUGACGGUACCUAAUCAGAAAGCCACGGCUAACUACGUG